Molecule: ribosomal RNA, 492 nt
Filed under: uncultured bacterium
Lineage: Bacteria
Description: partial 16S ribosomal RNA
Rfam family: Bacterial small subunit ribosomal RNA
Source: RNAcentral
AGUGAACGCUGGCGGUAGGCCUAGCACAUGCAAGUCGAACGGCAGCACAGUAAGAGCUUGCUCUUACGGGUGGCGAGUGGCGGACGGGUGAGGAAUACAUCGGAAUCUACUUUUUCGUGGGGGAUAACGUAGGGAAACUUACGCUAAUACCGCAUACGACCUACGGGUGAAAGCAGGGGAUCUUCGGACCUUGCGCGAUUGAAUGAGCCGAUGUCGGAUUAGCUAGUUGGCGGGGUAAAGGCCCACCAAGGCGACGAUCCGUAGCUGGUCUGAGAGGAUGAUCAGCCACACUGGAACUGAGACACGGUCCAGACUCCUACGGGAGGCAGCAGUGGGGAAUAUUGGACAAUGGGCGCAAGCCUGAUCCAGCCAUACCGCGUGGGUGAAGAAGGCCUUCGGGUUGUAAAGCCCUUUUGUUGGGAAAGAAAAGCAGCAGGUUGAUACCCCGCUGUUCUGACGGUACCCAAAGAAUAAGCACCGGCUAACUUCGUG